This 484-nucleotide ribosomal RNA is filed under the name Scarelus sp. UPOL 000582. RNAcentral's name for it is "partial large subunit ribosomal RNA". The stretch from base 363 to 484 matches the Rfam family "Bacterial large subunit ribosomal RNA", at positions 2473 to 2595 of the family's 2925-position model. The record is from RNAcentral. Lineage: Eukaryota; Metazoa; Arthropoda; Insecta; Coleoptera; Lycidae.
CAUGUCUUUUUGUUUAAUAAUUUAAGGUUUAAUCUGCUCAAUGAUAAUUUAAAUAGCCGCAGUAUAUUAACUGUGCAAAGGUAGCAUAAUAGUUAGUUCUUUAAUUAGGAGCUUGUAUGAAAGAUUGGACGAGAAAAGUUCUGUCUCAAUUUAAUUAGUUUUUGAAUUUUAUUUUUAAGUUAAAAAGCUUAAAUUUUUAUAAAAGACGAGAAGACCCUAUAGAGUUUUAUAUUUUAUGAUAUUUUUAAUUUUUUAAAGUAUUUGGUUGGGGUGAUUCGUGGAUUUAAUAAAUUCUUUGUUUUUAAUUAAUGAUUUUUAAUUUUUUUAAGUAUUAUUUUAAAUUAAAAUUUAAUUACCUUAGGGAUAACAGCGUUAUUUUUCUUAAAAGUUCUUAUUUAAAGGAAAGUUUGCGACCUCGAUGUUGGAUUAAAAUUAAUUUUUGGUGCAGUUGCUUAAAAAUUAGGUCUGUUCGACCUUUAAAAUU